GACGAACGCUGGCGGCGUGCCUAAUACAUGCAAGUAGAACGCUGAAGAGAGGAGCUUGCUCUUCUUGGAUGAGUUGCGAACGGGUGAGUAACGCGUAGGUAACCUGCCUUGUAGCGGGGGAUAACUAUUGGAAACGAUAGCUAAUACCGCAUAACAAUGGAUGACACAUGUCAUUUAUUUGAAAGUGGCAAUUUCUCCACUACAAGAUGGACCUGCGUUGUAUUAGCUAGUAGGUGAGGUAAUGGCUCACCUAGGCGACGAUACAUAGCCGACCUGGGAGGGUGAUCGGCCACACUGGGACUGAGACACGGCCCAGACCCCUACGGGAGGCAGCAGUAGGGAAUCGUCGGAAAUGGGGGCAACCCUGACCGAGAAACGCCGAGUGAGUGAAGAAGGUUUUCGGAUCGUGAAGCUCGGUUGUAAGUCAAGAACGGGUGUGAGAGUGGAAAGUUCACACUGUGACGGUAGCUUACCAGAAAGGGACGGCUAACUACGUG
This 497-nucleotide ribosomal RNA is filed under the name uncultured bacterium. RNAcentral's name for it is "partial 16S ribosomal RNA". It matches the Rfam family "Bacterial small subunit ribosomal RNA", at positions 28 to 507 of the family's 1533-position model. The record is from RNAcentral.